CUUUCAACAACGGAUCUCUUGGUUCUGGCAUCGAUGAAGAACGCAGCGAAAUGCGAUAAGUAAUGUGAAUUGCAGAAUUCCGUGAAUCAUCGAAUCUUUGAACGCACAUUGCGCCCCUCGGUAUUCCGGGGGGCAUGCCUGUUCGAGCGUCA
RNAcentral lists this ribosomal RNA (152 nucleotides) under Cladonia crispata. Its description in RNAcentral is "5.8S ribosomal RNA". It matches the Rfam family "5.8S ribosomal RNA". Rfam says of the family: 5.8S ribosomal RNA (5.8S rRNA) is a component of the large subunit of the eukaryotic ribosome. It is transcribed by RNA polymerase I as part of the 45S precursor that also contains 18S and 28S rRNA. RNAcentral also lists the same sequence under 6 other names. Lineage: Eukaryota; Fungi; Ascomycota; Lecanoromycetes; Lecanorales; Cladoniaceae. The record is from RNAcentral.